Musa acuminata AAA Group (dessert banana) is the source of this 715-nucleotide long non-coding RNA. RefSeq lists it as uncharacterized. NCBI's taxonomy places the organism in Eukaryota, Viridiplantae, Streptophyta, Magnoliopsida, Zingiberales, Musaceae. The record is from RefSeq and is a predicted model, not a curated record. The transcript is spliced from 2 exons.
GCAGGCAGGCAGCGUGGGUUUCAGGAACAGGAAUGGGUGGGAGGCCCCACCGCAGCUGAACCCCCAACGCUUUACAGCCAAACCAAGGGUGGCCUGACAUCCUCACCUUUAAUUCUGGUUCGUGUAGCAACAACAUUGGACGGCUGGCAGCAGCAGCAGCAGCAGCACCGGCCACUAAAGACUCGCGGCCAGCGGCACCAGGCCACGAUCGCGUUCGCCUCACAGCCAACUCAACUCCCCAAAGGUGUUUGUCGAAAUGCCUCUCCGCCCCCCCAAAACGGCACUCUGCAGCUUUGUCUGGAGCCUCCCUCCCUCCCUCCAAGCCCAUUCCCCUUCGCAGCUUCUUCCCACCAUGCUCUAUUAUGACUAGAGGAAAAGAAUGAAAGAGGAGUGUGUUUAACAUUUCGAUCCAGGUUUCCUACUUGAGAGAGAGAGAGAGAGAGUCGGGCUACAAUCUGAUGGUCAUGGGGAAGAAUUGAAUCCUCAAACCCCAAUCGCCUCAAAGAUCACGCAUGUUGAACAUGAUUUAGAUGCAAGUUCAUCGACUUAAUACAAUAAAAGCAUUCGUGCAUACAACAAACGUCACAAAGCUUGGUUUGGUAUUUCUGUAGAAUUAAUCAACUACACGUUUAUGGAAUGCCAUCAAAGCUUUUCUUCUUUGGACUCCACACGAUGUAUACAUCAGAAUGUAUGAUGCAUAUAUUGCUUUUUUUUA